Molecule: ribosomal RNA, 454 nt
Filed under: uncultured bacterium
Lineage: Bacteria
Description: bacterial SSU rRNA
Rfam family: Bacterial small subunit ribosomal RNA
Source: RNAcentral
GAUGAACGCUAGCUACAGGCUUAACACAUGCAAGUCGAGGGGCAGCAUGAACAUAGCUUGCUAUGUUUGAUGGCGACCGGCGCACGGGUGCGUAACACGUAUCCAAUCUACCCAUGGCUCGGGGAUAGCCUUUCGAAAGAAAGAUUAAUACCCGAUGGUCUCGGUUUAAGGCAUCUUAGACUGAGUAAAGAUUUAUCGGCGAUGGAUGAGGAUGCGUCUGAUUAGGUAGAUGGCGGGGUAACGGCCCACCAUGCCUACGAUCAGUAGGGGUUCUGAGAGGAAGGUCCCCCACACUGGAACUGAGACACGGUCCAGACUCCUACGGGAGGCAGCAGUGAGGAAUAUUGGUCAAUGGACGCAAGUCUGAACCAGCCAUGCCGCGUGCAGGAAGACGGCUCUAUGAGUUGUAAACUGCUUUUAUGCGAGGGUAAACGCAGGUACGUGUACCUGUCUG